UACGUAGGGGACAAGCGUUAUCCGGAUUUACUGGGUGUAAAGGGGGCGCAGACGGCGAUGCAAGCCAGGAGUGAAAGCCCGGGGCCCAACCCCGGGACUGCUCUUGGAACUGCGUGGCUGGAGUGCAGGAGGGGCAGGCGGAAUUCCUGGUGUAGCGGUGAAAUGCGUAGAUAUCAGGAGGAACACCGGUGGCGAAGGCGGCCUGCUGGACUGCAACUGACGUUGAGGCCCGAAAGCGUGGGGAGCAAACAGG
RNAcentral lists this ribosomal RNA (253 nucleotides) under uncultured bacterium. RNAcentral's name for it is "partial 16S ribosomal RNA". It matches the Rfam family "Bacterial small subunit ribosomal RNA", at positions 524 to 776 of the family's 1533-position model. The record is from RNAcentral.